CUUGUGUGCAAAAAGAGGACAGAAAAUGAUAUUUUUUCAUGAGAAAAAUAGUUCAAAAUAAUUUCUUCUGGGCAUUCUCUAGAGUUGAGCAGUCCAAUGACACCAAUUAGAAAGGAGCUGCAAUGGAAAUGGAAACAUACAACGUAAAAUGGGAUCUUGUGUUAUAUAGCCACUCAAUAUGCAUUAGAAGAAUUACAAAAGGAGUGAUUUAUUUCUCUCACUGCCUUUGCAAGGGACAGAUGUAAGCUCUCUUGCUGUGUUUGUAGGCCUUUCCCGGGAACUCAAAGCUUGCUGCUUCUCAGACUUUACUGUUGAUGGUACCGCAGCCCGUUGUCAUGGAAAUGAUGAUAGCGCCCUGGCAAUUCCUUACUCCAUCCACAUCACCAGGCUGCAUCAAGGGUCUGAUUGCAUUGCAACAGAUGCCAAGAAAAGCAAUCCCGGGAGCCCAAGUGCCAUGGUGGGUGCAGGAGGAUCCCUUCUGUGGGAUGCUACUGGGUGGGAUGGAGAAGCUUUGAAAGGAUCUCUAGAGCAAGAAGAUGCAUUCCUCAUGGAAAGGGCAAGCAAGAAAAAAAAAAAAAACAACAAAUGAACAUCAAGCUGCACAAGAGAACAAAACAAACAGCAGCUGCAGAGAAUAGAAUGCCAAAGGCUUAAACUGUGAGGUCCUAGCACAGAGUACCCAGAUGCUUAGAUUCAUCUUGGUUCCCAGCACAUAUUUUUGCACAAGAGUGAACAAACAAGCCACUUGAAGAAAACUUAAGAGCAUCCUUGGAAUUAUUUUCCUAUUCACGUGAAGCAAGUACAAGUAAAAAAAGUUGUUUUUUUCUUAGCUACAAAGAAAAAGUAUGGUGCAAAAAUUAUGUUGUAUCUUUUAUUUUGAGCCCUAAUUGUGGCCCCAUGUAUAGAAAAGUUAUGAAACCACAGCAUAACUUCCAAGUAAUAUGAAUUGUGAAUUAUAGGCUCCUGCUUGGUGUACUUUGAAGAUUUGCUAUUUUGUGUACAGACCUUCCACUUUCUGCUGAAAACAGCAAAAGAAAUGUCUGUGAAGUCAAGUCCUUAAAAUCACAAUCCUUAAAGUAAAGUUUAGUUUUCCAUAUUUUAAUUAGAUAUCACCAUUUUGGGUUCUAGUUGUUUGCUUCUGUGGAAUAACUUAUAGCAACAGACAAUCUUUAACACAAUCCUACCUAGAUCCAUUGUGGUCAUGGUUAAUGAUUUCAGUGUUAUGUUGAAAAAUUUUUGAGUUGAAAAAAAAAGCCAAGUGAUUAGGGAUACUGACACUCAGCUUGGAAAUGUCAUAGGGGUCUAUUUAAAGUCAUAUCUGAUGGCACUCCUGUGUGUGUG
Molecule: long non-coding RNA, 1341 nt
Filed under: Anas platyrhynchos platyrhynchos (common mallard)
Lineage: Eukaryota; Metazoa; Chordata; Aves; Anseriformes; Anatidae
Description: lncRNA (ENSAPLG00000029526.1)
Source: RNAcentral